CCCGUUGUUACUAUGGCACUUGUUUGUUUACAGUACCUGUUGUUGCUAUGGUACUGACUGGCUGGGAUCGCCUUCCACCGCUUAUUCCAUAGAGUUCAAUUUCGUACUCAGUGGCCUCUCGGAGGCCUGUUAUGUCCCUGCAGUCCAGGACAGACGGAAACCACCUGGAGUGGCAUCUGAAACUAGAAGGUUGUCAACUUCCAGUUCAGCUUCUAGAGGAGAGAAGACAGCGGAAGAGGGAGGAAACAGAGCGUUAAUCAGCAGUCCACACAAUCUUCUUCCUGGUGGGAUACAGAGUAUGGUGGUAGCUCGGUUUUCAGGGACAGAGUAUCCGGAGAUACCAGGAAACAAAACCGUUCCAUAUUAAUAAGUCUAGUAGGGCGAGGAGAGGAAAAACGUGGGAUUGACACAUUCAAUACAAGCCAAGCAUACUCUUGCAUCUGUGAGUUUUGUCUAAAAGUAAUUGCAUAAAUCCACAUCUGGACUUAGCGCCGGCCCCUCCCAUGCAUUAUUAAAUAAGUUCAAAGCCAUAAUUUGUUUACAUUCUCUCUCUGUCUUCCAGUGGCUGAGUGCCCAUCCUCUGCGAGUGCCUUUUCUUUUCUUUUUGAAAAGACAAAUAAACCAGCUCUAAUGAUC
This is a non-coding RNA of Myodes glareolus (Bank vole), 636 nucleotides long. NCBI's taxonomy places the organism in Eukaryota, Metazoa, Chordata, Mammalia, Rodentia, Cricetidae. The record is from RefSeq and is a predicted model, not a curated record.